AUUAUUUCAGGUGUGAUGUAGUGAACAUGGGUAUCAAUUCCUCCUGCUGUAACUAUUGUUCCCUCUCCCGCAAUCACUUCUGUACUUGCUGAAACAAUAAAAUCUACAUUAUCCAUCAUAUCAGGGUUUCCCCCUUUUCCGAUGAAUUUUAUUUUUCCGUCUUUUAUUCCUAUAUCAGCUUUAUAUAUUCCUGUAUAGUCUAAAAUUACAGCAUUUGUAAUUAUUGUAUCCACAACUUUUUCGUUUGUUCUAAGCUCAACAGGAUUAAGACCCAUCCCUGCUC
RNAcentral lists this small RNA (283 nucleotides) under uncultured Fusobacterium sp. Its description in RNAcentral is "5' ureB small RNA". It matches the Rfam family "5' ureB small RNA". Lineage: Bacteria; Fusobacteriati; Fusobacteriota; Fusobacteriia; Fusobacteriales; Fusobacteriaceae. The record is from RNAcentral.